RNAcentral lists this transfer RNA (72 nucleotides) under Alosa alosa (allis shad). RNAcentral's name for it is "tRNA-OTHER". Lineage: Eukaryota; Metazoa; Chordata; Actinopteri; Clupeiformes; Clupeidae. The record is from RNAcentral.
GUGGUGGUAGUGUAGUGGCUAGGAGCUCGGCUAGCACCACAAAAGUCGUGGGUUCGAUUCCCAGCUGCCACC